This 333-nucleotide ribosomal RNA is filed under the name Calamodontophis paucidens. Its description in RNAcentral is "partial 12S ribosomal RNA". Lineage: Eukaryota; Metazoa; Chordata; Lepidosauria; Squamata; Dipsadidae. The record is from RNAcentral.
AAAGACUUGACGGUACUUCACAACAACCUAGAGGAGCCUGUCCAAUAACCGAUACUCCACGAUUAACCCAACCCACCCUAGCCUAACAGUCUAUAUACCGCCGUCGCCAGCUUACCUUGUGAAAGAAAUAAAGUAAGCAAAAUAAACCCCAUUAAUACGACAGGUCGAGGUGUAACUUAUGGGUGGGUAAAAGAUGGGCUACAUUUUCUAAUACAGAAAAUACGAAUAAACUAUGAAACUAGAAACUGAAGGUGGAUUUAGCAGUACGGUAAGAAUAAAAUACUUAACUGAAACUAACGCAAUGAAGUGCGCACACACCGCCCGUCAUCCCUG